GCAGACAUGGCGAAACUGGUAUACGCGCUAUCUUGAGGGGGUAGUGAGCAAUUGCUCGUGCGAGUUCAAAUCUCGCUGUCUGCACCA
This 87-nucleotide transfer RNA is filed under the name Thomasclavelia ramosa. RNAcentral describes it as "tRNA-Leu". It matches the Rfam family "tRNA". Rfam says of the family: Transfer RNA (tRNA) molecules are approximately 80 nucleotides in length. RNAcentral also lists the same sequence under 3 other names. Lineage: Bacteria; Bacillati; Bacillota; Erysipelotrichia; Erysipelotrichales; Coprobacillaceae. The record is from RNAcentral.